AGCAGGGCCGUCAACGCUCAACUUGUUACUAUGAGAUGUAUCCAAAAUGACAGCUGUCACCUGUCUUUCAACAAAUUCUUAACGGAGAUAUUCCGGGUUCAACAUUUUGAUGGCAAAAGUCCCCUAAAUACUAUUAAACUUUGGUUUGUUAUAUCAAGAGAUUGCCAUAAGAGAAAUGGAAUACAUUCAUUUUUCAUCCUCGGCCCAUCUUGGAAAUUAUUAAGCCGUCAAAAGGAACUUGUUUGGAGCUGGCUAUUGCAACGCCCAGUCUAGCGCCCUAGAAUAAGAUCCUUAAAUGCUGAAACUGGAAAUGAGAUUGCGAAACGAGUUUGAUGUAGAAUGUAUCGUUUUUGAUAAAAAAAAAGAAAGGUACAGCUUUAUGAAAAUGUGGUACCAAAACAUAAUUUGGUUUAAACCUAUGUUUCUUAACUUUUGGCUUGCAGACUGUAUUCACCUGAAGCGAAGAACGGUAGGGUUCUCAAAUGUGUUAAUUAACUAUAAUACAUACAUAUAAAUAAAUGAAAAAA
This 527-nucleotide small RNA is filed under the name Drosophila yakuba. RNAcentral's name for it is "GE28969". Lineage: Eukaryota; Metazoa; Arthropoda; Insecta; Diptera; Drosophilidae. The record is from RNAcentral.